RNAcentral lists this ribosomal RNA (468 nucleotides) under uncultured bacterium. RNAcentral describes it as "partial 16S ribosomal RNA". It matches the Rfam family "Bacterial small subunit ribosomal RNA", at positions 28 to 507 of the family's 1533-position model. The record is from RNAcentral.
GACGAACGCUGGCGGCGUGCUUAACACAUGCAAGUCGAACGGAAAGGCCCUGCUUUUGUGGGUUGCUCGAGUGGCGAACGGGUGAGUAACACGUGAGUAACCUGCCCUUGACUUUGGGAUAACUUCAGGAAACUGGGGCUAAUACCGGAUAGGAGCUCCUGCUGCAUGGUGGGGGUUGGAAAGUUUCGGCGGUUGGGGAUGGACUCGCGGCUUAUCAGCUUGUUGGUGGGGUAGUGGCUUACCACGGCUUUGACGGGUAGCCGGCCUGAGAGGGUGACCGGCCACAUUGGGACUGAGAUACGGCCCAGACUCCUACGGGAGGCAGCAGUGGGGAAUAUUGCACAAUGGGCGGAAGCCUGAUGCAGCAACGCCGCGUGCGGGAUGACGGCCUUCGGGUUGUAAACCGCUUUCGCCUGUGACGAAGCGUGAGUGACGGUAAUGGGUAAAGAAGCACCGGCUAACUACGUG